AAUUUCGCCCCAAAAGGCUCUAUGAGAGAAACCUGAUACCAAAGAAAAUCUUUGGCAUACAAAAUGAAAGUGGAAGAUUUUAUGUGGAAGACCUUAUCUGGAAUAACAUUGAUUCCGAUCGAAAGAGAUGAUCAGGACUUGCCUAAUCCUAUGAGUGCAGAUUUAAUCCAAAAAAAAAGAAAAAACAAGAAAAAAAUAAAAAGAAAC
RNAcentral lists this long non-coding RNA (207 nucleotides) under Gossypium raimondii (Peruvian cotton). Its description in RNAcentral is "long non-coding RNA (GRAI_LNC004186)". Lineage: Eukaryota; Viridiplantae; Streptophyta; Magnoliopsida; Malvales; Malvaceae. The record is from RNAcentral.